GAUGAACGCUGGCGGCGUGCCUAAUACAUGCAAGUCGAGCGAACAGACGAGGAGCUUGCUCCUCUGACGUUAGCGGCGGACGGGUGAGUAACACGUGGAUAACCUACCUAUAAGACUGGGAUAACUUCGGGAAACCGGAGCUAAUACCGGAUAAUAUAUUGAACCGCAUGGUUCAAUAGUGAAAGACGGUUUUGCUGUCACUUAUAGAUGUAUCCGCGCCGCAUUAGCUAGUUGGUAAGGUAACGGCUUACCAAGGCAACGAUGCGUAGCCGACCUGAGAGGGUGAUCGGCCACACUGGAACUGAGACACGGUCCAGACUCCUACGGGAGGCAGCAGUAGGGAAUCUUCCGCAAUGGGCGAAGGCCUGACGGAGCAACGCCGCGUGAGUGAUGAAGGUCUUCGGAUCGUAAAACUCUGUUAUUAGGGAAGAACAAAUGUGUAAGUAACUAUGCACGUCUUGACGGUACCUAAUCAGAAAGCCACGGCUAACUACGUG
This 497-nucleotide ribosomal RNA is filed under the name uncultured bacterium. RNAcentral's name for it is "partial 16S ribosomal RNA". It matches the Rfam family "Bacterial small subunit ribosomal RNA", at positions 28 to 507 of the family's 1533-position model. The record is from RNAcentral.